Non-coding RNA from Mycena vulgaris, 91 nucleotides. The record is from the annotation of a GenBank genome assembly. NCBI's taxonomy places the organism in Eukaryota, Fungi, Basidiomycota, Agaricomycetes, Agaricales, Mycenaceae.
GGUCUGGUAGUGUAGUGGUAACACACCCAUUCUCUCUAUUGAGGAUGAAUCUCUCAAACGAGAAUCCCUUGUUCGACUCAAGGCUAGGCCA